This 240-nucleotide ribosomal RNA is filed under the name uncultured bacterium. RNAcentral's name for it is "partial 16S ribosomal RNA". It matches the Rfam family "Bacterial small subunit ribosomal RNA", at positions 114 to 354 of the family's 1533-position model. The record is from RNAcentral.
CGCGUGAGGAACCUGCCUUCCAGAGGGGGACAACAGUUGGAAACGACUGCUAAUACCGCAUGAUACAUUUGAAUCGCAUGGUUUGAAUGUCAAAGAUUUAUCGCUGGAAGAUGGCCUCGCGUCUGAUUAGCUAGUUGGUGAGGUAACGGCCCACCAAGGCGACGAUCAGUAGCCGGACUGAGAGGUUGGCCGGCCACAUUGGGACUGAGAUACGGCCCAGACUCCUACGGAAGGCAGCAG